This 91-nucleotide transfer RNA is filed under the name Lachnospiraceae bacterium XBB2008. It matches the Rfam family "tRNA". Rfam says of the family: Transfer RNA (tRNA) molecules are approximately 80 nucleotides in length. Their secondary structure includes four short double-helical elements and three loops (D, anti-codon, and T loops). RNAcentral also lists the same sequence under 1 other name. The record is from Rfam by way of RNAcentral. Lineage: Bacteria; Bacillati; Bacillota; Clostridia; Lachnospirales; Lachnospiraceae.
GGAGACGUAUCGAAGUGGUCAUAACGAGCUCGACUCGAAAUCGAGUUGUCGGCUUGAAACCGGCACGUGGGUUCGAAUCCCACCGUCUCCG